UAAAACGUAGGAGGCGAGCGUUAUCCGGAAUUACUGGGCGUAAAGGGCGUCUAGGCGGGUCUUCAAGCGUGGUGUGAAAGCUCCUGGCUCAACUGGGAGAGUGCGCCGCGGACUGAGGGUCUUGGAGGGCAGGUGAAGGGGGUGGAAUUCCCGGUGGAGUGGUGAAAUGCGUAGAGAUCGGGAGGAACACCAGUGGCGCAAGCGGCCCCCUAACCUGAACCUGACGCUGAAGCGCGACAGCGUGGGGAGCAAACGGGAUUAGAUACCCCGGUAGUCCACGCCGUAAACGAUGGUGACUAGGUGUGCGAGGUUAUUGACCCCUCGUGUGCCGGAGCUAACGCGUUAAGUCACCCGCCUGGGGAGUACGGCGCACAGGCU
Molecule: ribosomal RNA, 378 nt
Filed under: uncultured bacterium
Lineage: Bacteria
Description: bacterial SSU rRNA
Rfam family: Bacterial small subunit ribosomal RNA
Source: RNAcentral